RNAcentral lists this transfer RNA (66 nucleotides) under Aquatica lateralis (Japanese firefly). RNAcentral describes it as "tRNA-His". The record is from RNAcentral. Lineage: Eukaryota; Metazoa; Arthropoda; Insecta; Coleoptera; Lampyridae.
UAUUUAAAUAGUUUAAAUAAAAUAUUGGUUUGUGGGGCCAGGGAUAUAUAAUUGUAUUUUAAAUAA